This 300-nucleotide ribosomal RNA is filed under the name Enterococcus faecalis. RNAcentral's name for it is "bacterial SSU rRNA". It matches the Rfam family "Bacterial small subunit ribosomal RNA", at positions 32 to 309 of the family's 1533-position model. Lineage: Bacteria; Bacillati; Bacillota; Bacilli; Lactobacillales; Enterococcaceae. The record is from RNAcentral.
AACGCUGGCGGCGUGCCUAAUACAUGCAAGUCGAACGCUUCUUUCCUCCCCGAGUGCUUGCACUCAAUUGGAAAGAGGAGUGGCGGACGGGUGAGUAACACGUGGGUAACCUACCCAUCAGAGGGGGAUAACACUUGGAAACAGGUGCUAAUACCGCAUAACAGUUUAUGCCGCAUGGCAUAAGAGUGAAAGGCGCUUUCGGGUGUCGCUGAUGGAUGGACCCGCGGUGCAUUAGCUAGUUGGUGAGGUAACGGCUCACCAAGGCCACGAUGCAUAGCCGACCUGAGAGGGUGAUCGGCC